Molecule: long non-coding RNA, 5002 nt
Filed under: Panax ginseng (ginseng)
Lineage: Eukaryota; Viridiplantae; Streptophyta; Magnoliopsida; Apiales; Araliaceae
Description: long non-coding RNA (PGIN_LNC002308)
Source: RNAcentral
AGUGUUGAAAGUUCUCUUUGUCUUGGGUACAACAAAGAACUUUUGAUUGGUAUUACAGGGAUUGUGACGACCCCAAAUCCAGGUACUUGAAACCCGAACUCGGUUCUCCACGAUACCAUUUCUUUAAGCUGAAUAAUACUAAAAUAAUAAUACAUUCGAACUUAAUUUACAUACAUCAAAGUUUACUUCCCCAGGUACGUGACCUUCAAAUACAUUCCUUACAAUACUUGAAUAGAUACCAAUACAACUAUAACCAUUAACUCAUAAUACACACUUAUUCGAUCAGCUUUCCUUUUCCUUUGUUCGUGCCUGAGCCUUCAGGUUGCUCAUACAUAACUGAAAACAUUUAAUUUAAGCAAGGAUGAGCAUUUAAGUGCCCAGCAAGUAAUAGCAAUUAUAUAUAAGCUGAAAGAAUAUAAGUAUUCUCUUUACAUAACACUUCUACAACGAAUUGAAAGUUGUGAAGUAAUCUGUACUGAUAAAAAAUUCACAUAACAACUCUCUUUCAAAUUCUUUAAAUUUGGCUCUGGCUCUACCCUUGAAUAGGGUUUAAGAAACAUACUAUGAACAUUCUUUUCAUUUUCGAAAAGGUUUAGCGGAAUUCUAUCCUCAAACCGUCAUAACUUACGGGCACGGAGGGUGAUCAGCCCCGUUGUACCCUGUAUUGAUCAAUACUACAUAACUUGAACGAAAUUCAUCGCUCACUCUAUCCGCCUUGGGCGCAAAAAUCUUCCCAUAUAGGGAUGUUCAUACAUGCCUGGUUCCAAACCCGAAGGUUUUUAAUCUUGCUCAACAAUAAUAUGUAAUUCAACAUAUAUGUAUACGGGUAAUUGACAAAGGUAUAUCAACAUGUGAAUAAAUGCCAUGAUUAUCCAAGUGGGGACACUUGUAUAACCAUUUAGAAAUCAACUUAACAGAAUAUAUAUCUGAGCUAACAUGUUGAUAAUCAAAGCGUACAUAAUCUGUACAGGAAUAGAAUAAUUCUGAAACUUCUUACUCAUGUCCAUUGCAUAAAGGAAAUGCAAAGGUAGGAUACUUGCCUGAUUCGCUGAUUACAAAUCUCAACUUAGGUUUUAUCUCUUUAUCACAACCUAUCAAUAAUCAGAUCAUUCGUUCGAUUAGAACAAUAUAUCUUAACACAUAGUACUGUCUAUUACAGUCAGCACAUAGUCUAAUCACAUAAUCACAGUGAUCAUACUUUUAGUUCCUAUUCUAUACUUGAAAUAUUUUUAUACAUUUUUCAAAUAUCUCAUCCAUGCUCUUACAGUAGUCUUUUCUUUCUUUUAUAAGGUCUGACAUUUGUCGGCGUACCGACAGCUUUAUCGGGUAAAUACUGAGUCUAAGACUCUUAUUCUAUACCUCAACAUCUGUAAAUAUCAGACAUCUUAUUUUUAAUCAUUUUCGCAAUUUCCAGAAAUUGAAAAAUUUAAAAUAAUUCAAAUCUGUCACUAAAGGGCCUAUAGUGAUAUAACUGUUACUAUAGGUGUUCUUCUUCAAAUUCAGAACUUCAUAAUCGGUUCUCAAGUCAGCUAGUUUGGCCGGCUAUAACUUUCAAAUAUCGGAAUCAUAAUUAAAUGAUUUAAACAUUAAACAAUUCCAUUAUCAUUAAUAGUUUAAUUAAUACUAAACUAUUAAUGAAACCAUUGCCAAAAUAUAAAAGUUAUUUAUAAUAACUCAAACUAUUUUUAAAACAUUUAUAUUACCCAAAUAAUUACCAUUAAUAUUUAAAUAUUAAUGUACUAUUUAUCCAAAUAUUAAAAGUCAUUAAUUAUAACUUAAAAUAUUUUUAAAUCCUUAAUAUCCUCUUUAAAUGGUUUUUAAAUAAGUAAAACCAUUUUUAAACUAUUUAUUUAAUAUUAAUCAUUAAAUAAACUAAAUAUCAUUAAUAUUAUCUUAAUAUCAUUAAUAUUUAAUUAUUAAUGAAAUUAUCAUUUAAAUAUUAAAAGUUAUAUUUUAUAACUUAAAAUAUUUUUAAAUACCUUAUUUUCAUUUAAAAUGAUUUUUAUAAUAUUAAAAUCAUUUUUAAACUAAAUUAUUUAAUAUAAUCAUUAAAUAACUUUAAUAUCAUUAAUAAUUAUUAAUUAAUGAAAUUCAUCACAAAAUAUUAAAAGUCAUCACAAAUAACUCAUUUACAUAAUCAAUUCCAAGCCAAAAUAAACAUAGUAAACUAACUAGUUUAUUAACAACACUAACUAAACUUCAAAAAUUCAAACUUUAACUAACAAUUAAAAAUAAUAACAUUACAAAAAUUAAAUAAGAAACAUACCCGGAAAUACGAAUUCCACAGACUGAAUACGCACUUCCACGCCAAAAUUUAACUAAGGAGAUCUUUAUAAAAAGUUCUCCCACAACAAAGCCUUUCUCAAAAAUUGGAGGCCUUAUUGUUGGUGAAUGAAACAAAGGCCAAGCCCUUCUAUUUAUAGGUUUAGAAAAUGGUGAAGUUCUCAAUUUAGUCGAUGUGGGACUUGGUUUAUACUAAUUUUUCAAUAGCUCACUUUGCGAUUUUCUAACGCAUUGCUCAUAACUCCGAUUAAUCUGAUUUUUGGAUAUGUUAUACAUGGUAUGUAAGACUAUUUUUAAAAAAUACGAAUUACCCAAUUCGGGUUCAUUAGGUAGCCCAAACAGUGCGUCAAAAGUGGACGUUCAUAACAGUUUUCAAUCUCGUUUCAGCUUUACCCUCUUUCGCUAAAACAGUCAUAACUCUUUCAUUUUAAAACAUUUUUGAGCGAUUCUUGAGCCCACGCGAAGCUAACUUCUGGGGCUACAACUUUUAUUCUUUGACCAUUUCCAAAUUCCGAACACAUCAGCCCAGAAAUUCCGUUCAAAUGGACUGCACCGCACUUGUUGGGAAGUUUUGACACUACUACUUUGAAAUGUCAUAACUCUCUCCUCCGAUAUCGGAUUUAGUCCGUUUCGGAGUCUAUGGAAAGCUUAUUCGGUGUACUAUAACAUACCAAAAGCCCAGAAGGUUUUGGAAACAUUAACUGAUCGAAACAGUGUCCCGAAUAGCACAUCCCGCUGCUGACUUUCAGUUUUGAGAAAUUUGACACAUUUCCUUCCAAUCACCGUAAUUCCCUCAUCCGAGGUCGGAAUGAGGUCAUUCCAAAGCCUAUGGCUUCCUAACUCAGUGCACUACAACAUAUCAAAAGCCCAGACCUUUUAAAGCACAAAAAGUGGACGAGAAUGCCCCCAUUACAGACUGCCCAAAAACAGUUUAUCAUGAUCGGUCAACCAUGUUUGACCAUCUAUAACUUCUAAUCUAUACAUGAUAUGGACUUGAUUCUUUUUGCAGAUUAAAGACCACAUAUCAGGCUACACAUAACAACUUUUGAAGAACAAAACUCAUGAUCGAGCAAAGAGUUAUGGCCUCUGACAUUUGGGAAAAAAAUAACAGAAUUCGGUUUUUCCAACUUGCUUAAAUCUUCAAAUUCGUGCACUUUGAUGUUAUGGGUCUUUGAUUUAUCAACCCAUAUCAUCAAUUAACAUUCUAUUACACAACUUUAAACAAUCAAUUGCAUCAAAUAACAUCGAAUCAAAGGAUUUCUAGGUUUAGUGUUCUUAUACCCUUUUUGCCAAAAAUUCUUGAUUCUUGCUUCUGAUUUGUUAUGGGUGAUGGUUGGGCUUUGUUUAAGAGUGUAUGGGCAAUCUUGUACAAGGCAAUUAAAUGUAAUAUUUAAUCACUAGAUUUAAUUCUUAUAAUUUACCAAUUAACUUCUAUCCUUUGGUAAAUUAAAACACUUAUACAAUAACAUCGAAAUUAAACCCGGUAAUUAAAAUUAGGGUUUCUCAACGUCAUCAAUUAGGGUUUCUAAUUGACCAUUAGUGGUUCUUUAAUUAUCUGUGUAUGUUACUAACACAGUCGUUACGGUUUCUAAUUUCAACCGGUUAGGGUUAUAAUAAUUAGGGUUUGUCCUAAUUAUCGACGUACAACAGUAAUUAGGGUUUCUUCUAAUUACCGAUAUUCUUAUUCACAGUAACUUCAUAUACACAGUCACUACUCAGAAAUAUCCCAUAACUGAGUUUAAUAAUUAGGGUUUCACAGCACGGUAAUAUGCUAUGACCUAAUUGACCGUCAUUGCUCAAUAUUAUCUGUCCGCACAUACCCAGUACAUAAUUAUGGUACUGUAAAAUCAUUAUAUAAAUAAUAUAAUAUUAUUAUUCUCAUCUCUUGAUCACAAUCCCAAUCCAGGGUUUGGAUCUCAUGUCUGACUUAUUCUUCGUACACAGCAUCAAUAAUCAAGUUAAAAUAAUUAACUUAAAUAUUCUGAACAAUUCAUAUAAUAAAAUAUUUAUUAUAUAAAUCUAAUUAUCACUUCAUAUAUUAUUUCCAAUCAUGUUUUCAUGGAAAAUAAUUAAUAAAAACAUUUCGGCUUACAGAAAUUUAUUACAAUAUAAUUUGUGGUAAUUAAUAAUUCCAAAAUUAUUUCUAAUUUUUCAAGUAAUAAAUGUAUUCGCAUUUAUCGUUCACUUUACUUGACACUUAGUCUCGUCAUUAAAUAAAAAAAAAAAUUUAUACGAAAAUUUCUUAUUUAUUUUAUUUAGAAAAUCUCGGGUUACUACAGGGAUAAAAUAUUAAUGAUGGACUUUUUAAUUUGAAGGAGAUAGUAGACAUUAUGUUCUACUUGACUUCUAAUGGAUUGUUGUUUCCACUGCAGUUGUUGAUCUAAAAUGUGUUGUCUAUUGUAUUCUAUCAGAUUUUUCCCUGUUGAGGACUAAGGAUAAUUUUUUCUAUAUUAUCUUAGUCAUAAUAUUCUUUACUGGGCUAGUUGAGCUCACACUUUUGCUUCACAAUUCCUUUCAGGUAGUAAGAGUGUAGCCGGGUCGAGUGGGAAUAACAGGGGAAUAGGGUGAUGGUCCGAGACUAUGGAAAUUUCCCAAUACAUUAUAAAAUAGCAUAUAAUUGUAUUGAUGACUUAAGAUGUAUGUAUCGUAUUUUAUACGUCACUUAAUAAUUGAUUUUGGUGAACAACAAUAGGGUGAUAAGAACCCGACUUUGAAAGCG